CCUACGGGAGGCAGCAGUGGGGAAUCUUCCGCAAUGGGCGCAAGCCUGACGGAGCAACGCCGCGUGAAUGAAGAAGGUCUUCGGAUCGUAAAGUUCUGUUCUUAGGGAAGAAGUCUUAGGUUGUGAAUAAUGACUUAAGGUGACGGUACCUAUGGAGAAAGCUCCGGCUAACUACGUGCCAGUAGCCGCGGUAAUACGUAGGGAGCGAGCGUUGUCCGGAAUUACUGGGCGUAAAGGGCGCGUAGGCGGGAACUUAAGUUAGAUGUGAAAACUCCGGGCUUAACCUGGAGACUGCAUUUAAAACUGGGUUUCUUGAGGGCAGGAGAGGAAAGUGGAAUUCCUAGUGUAGCGGUGAAAUGCGUAGAUAUUAGCAGGAACACCAGUGGCGAAGGCAUCUCACGAAUCCGCGAUUGACGCUGAUGCACGAAAGCGUGGGUAUCAAACAGGAUUAGAUACCCGAGUAGUC
RNAcentral lists this ribosomal RNA (466 nucleotides) under uncultured bacterium. RNAcentral's name for it is "partial 16S ribosomal RNA". It matches the Rfam family "Bacterial small subunit ribosomal RNA", at positions 338 to 795 of the family's 1533-position model. The record is from RNAcentral.